Molecule: long non-coding RNA, 1970 nt
Organism: Callithrix jacchus (white-tufted-ear marmoset)
Lineage: Eukaryota; Metazoa; Chordata; Mammalia; Primates; Cebidae
Source: Ensembl
GAGUGGGCUCCAGGAAAGGGGAGAAACUAGGCAGCAGGAGCAGACACCUCUGAGCCUGCAAGGGCAAGGGGGGUUGGUUUCUAGGCCGCCAAGAGUGCAGAGAGGCCCAAUGCCACAGCCCUGAUUUGGGCAUCUGCUGCCAUGUCUAGGAGGUCAGGGCUGUGACCUGCUUCUAGCUCCAGCCGGGUCCUUCAGUGUGCAGCCGCUUAUGACCCCUUGCAGCUUGGGACAGGAGCUCUAGGUGGCCCCAGGCUGGUGUCCUGGGCAGGGGCAACGUCUAUGUGAGCUCACAUGUCUCCAGGCAAACAACUCCCCCUGUCCCCGCCUUACUCAGUUUGCGGCCCUGUCAAGGAGUCUCGGAGUAGACUGUGGGCCCCGGGGCCUUGCCAUGGAGACUAUCAAGCGUGGUGGUCACCCGACGCGGGGCGGACCUGGAGACAUAACCCUUAGGAUCCCUGCGCAGAGGCCUCCCUGAGGUCCAGCAACCUGGCACCGUAGCAUGGGCCAGGUUCCGGAAGUGGUGCUACUCCCACUUCCUGCUGCUGCUCCCACUUCCUGCCGCUGCCCCCACUUCCUGCCCCUCCUGGAAGUGGUGCAGCUCCCACUUCCUGCCCCUCCCGGAAGCGGGGAGCCCGCUCCUCCUCCUCCCUGCACCCUCCCUUCAGCAGAAGCCAGUGAGAAGAGUGAGGGGGAGCCAGAGCCGGGACUCUGAGGCCAAGGGCGGGUCUGGGUCCUGCCACCAGCGCCGGUCCUCUCCGCCGUGCAGGGCCCGCAGGGCCAUCACCGUGGCCGGUCAGUCCGUCAUCUUCUCCCCAGCCAUAGGAGUCCAUAGUAGGAGAAACAAUCAGAAGAUUGUUUUAUUUGGUCAAGAAAAUAUUAUCAAGUAGAUUUCACACAGUGUUUGGAUUGUGGACCAGGGAGCUGGAGGCAAGAAAGGAUUCACAGCAAUGCAACGCCGUAUUUUAUGAUCGGUGACGCAGAAAAACGUUUCAUAUUGACAGUCGGCAGUAACUGUGGAAAUCAGAUGCCAGCGAGAAACACAGAUUGCAGCCAGAAGAAACUAGAAUGAUAGAAAAGCUUGAACAACAUGACGGAAAAGGGAUUUAAAGAAAACCAAAGUAUUGGACAAAAAAAUUCAGUAUCUUUGCCUUUACGUUGUUUAUUUUUAAAUUUUAGAAUAAUUAUUGCUUCAAAGGAAGCUGCAAAGAUGAUAGACAGAGGUCUCCUCCAUCCUCCACCCAGGUUCUCAGUAUGAUUGCACCAUCCAUAAUUACAUCAGAACCGUGAAUCUGGAAUUGGUACAAUAUAUGUGUCCAGUUUUACUAAUUUUAUCACCUGCGUGGAAGUGUGUAACCGCCAGUGCAAUUAAGACACAGAACUCUUCCACCAGCACCAAAGUCUCCUUCAUGUUACCCAUUUAUAGCCACACCCAGUUCUUCUCUCCAGCCUAAAUCCCUGACCACUGGCAACCACUGAUGUGUUCCCCUUCUCUCUAAUUUCGUCAUUUCAAGAACGUUUUAUCAGUAGAGUCACACAUAGCACAGGUGCAUAUUUACUUAUACAGUUAAAAUCAAACCUUUAUGUUGACUUUUGUCUCAGCAUAAAUGGCCUUGACAUCCAUUCAAAUUUGCAUAUUGAUAGCUUGAUACAUUUUAUUGCUGAAUAGUAUUCCGUGCUAUGAAUGUGCCAUAGCUUUUUUGUUCCCCUAUUGGAGAAAUUUCAGGUGUUUCUACUUUUGGCUAUCGCAAACAAAGCUGAGAUGAACAAUAGUGUGAAUGUUUUUGUUUGUAGAUACGUUUUCAUGUCUCUAGGAUAACCCAAGAUUAUGAUAACUGGAUCAUAUGGUAAGAAUAGUUUUUUAAGAAACUGCCUAAAUUAACUUCUAGAUUGUCUUUACCAUUUUACAUUCCUAUCAGCAAUGUACAAGAGAUUGUUUCUCUGCAUCUUUGCCACAUUUUGAUGUUUGCAAC